This 439-nucleotide ribosomal RNA is filed under the name uncultured bacterium. RNAcentral describes it as "partial 16S ribosomal RNA". It matches the Rfam family "Bacterial small subunit ribosomal RNA", at positions 339 to 795 of the family's 1533-position model. The record is from RNAcentral.
CUACGGGCGGCUGCAGUGAGGAAUAUUGCACAAUGGGGGGAACCCUGAUGCAGCAACGCCGCGUGGAGGAUGACGCAUUUCGGUGUGUAAACUCCUUUUAUAUGUCAAGAAAAUGACGGUAGCAUAUGAAUAAGCACCGGCUAACUCCGUGCCAGCAGCCGCAGUAAUACGGAGGGUGCAAGCGUUACUCGGAAUCACUGGGCGUAAAGGACGCGUAGGCGGGUUGGAAAGUCAGGUGUGAAAUCCCACAGCUUAACUGUAGAACUGCACUUGAAACUUCUAAUCUAGAGUAUGGGAGGGGGAGAUGGAAUUAGUGGUGUAGGGGUAAAAUCCGUAGAUAUCACUAGGAAUACCUAAAGCGAAGGCGAUCUCCUGGAACAUUACUGACGCUAAGGCGUGAAAGCGUGGGGAGCAAACAGGAUUAGAUACCCUAGUAGUC